This 253-nucleotide ribosomal RNA is filed under the name uncultured bacterium. RNAcentral describes it as "partial 16S ribosomal RNA". It matches the Rfam family "Bacterial small subunit ribosomal RNA", at positions 524 to 776 of the family's 1533-position model. The record is from RNAcentral.
UACGGAGGGUGCAAGCGUUGUUCGGAAUCACUGGGCGUAAAGGGCGUGUAGGCGGUCUAUCAAGUCUGGUGUGAAAUCCCCUCGCUCAACGAGGGAACUGCGCCGGAAACUGACAGACUAAAGUACCGGAGAGGAAGGUGGAAUUCCGGGUGUAGUGGUGAAAUGCGUAGAGAUCCGGAGGAACACCAGUGGCGAAGGCGACACGCUGGGCCGUACCUGACACUGAACCGCGACAGCAUGGGGAGCAAACAGG